AUUGACAAUCAUGAAACAUACAGUGUAAUGGUAUAUGUUGGUAGUAGAUGAAAUCAGUAUUCAGUGUGAAACAAAAUUUGAUUACCAUUAAAUACGCGCAGCUAGAACAAUUUGUGAAAAGCAGCAGAUAUUCCUUUCUUUUUUUUAAAAAAAAUUUAUGCUAUAUAUUUUUGUGAAAUUUCUUUCUUUAUCCUUUUCUUUCUAUUGUUUACGCACAUAAACAUGGUUAGAAAACAUACAGAUGCAAGCAAUGGAACAAGAACAUUUAUUAUAUUUAUUUUAAAAAAAAAAAAACAGCAUAUUUUUCUACUGAUCAUCUUAUUGUACCACGCACAUUUAGCUUUCAAGUAUUUUAUAACACUACGAGUUAAACGUACAUCAAGAAUAGGAAACUAAGAGAUAACCUUUUGCAGUUUUUGAAUAAGGGAAAGUUAGAAAGAAUACACAUAUUUUUCGUAAAAUGUAAACCCUGUUCGUGAAAGUUUACUUUUCGUUGAAUUUAGAAUAAUUGUUUAUAAUUAAUGUUGACUUAUUAGCUUACUAGAAUGCUUGAAUUCGGGUUUAUAAGAGUUCAGUCGUAAAUUUUAUCACUUGAAUUGUCAAUUGAUAGAUUAAAGUCCAAUUGCGAGUAUGCGCGAUUGCAGAUUUCAUGAACAACCCUAUAU
This is a non-coding RNA of Schizosaccharomyces pombe (fission yeast), 665 nucleotides long. Lineage: Eukaryota; Fungi; Ascomycota; Schizosaccharomycetes; Schizosaccharomycetales; Schizosaccharomycetaceae. The record is from the annotation of a GenBank genome assembly.